GCUCUCUCUUGUUUCUUCUACAUAGGGACAACAUUUGUGCGUUUGCUACCGCACACUUAUGAUCUUUACAGGGCACACUACUACAAUGAUGAUUUCGAUUGGUCGUACAUGUAUGCCAAUCCUGCUGCAGAUUAUUACUCCACUGCUUGGGAUGUGAUCAUUCCUCUUGGAGGUCUGCUAUCUGCUGCAAUCAUAUACUUGCAGCAGCGCAAUGGAGGUCGUUGUUUCCUGCCGAAAAGAUUUAAGGAGCUGAAAGUAUAUGAGAAGGUGCCAGUGACUAGUGAACCAUAAAGAGUGGUGAUAUGGAAUCUCUCACUUCUGGUAGUUUGCUACUUUAUCACUAUAAUACAUAUUUCUUUCUCCCUUUCCUGGUUAAGUUUGUAGAACAAUUAGGACUGCUGCUGCUUGUGCAAUUUAAUAGAAAUAACUCUCUGUUUGUAAUUUUUGAUGUAUU
RNAcentral lists this unclassified non-coding RNA (454 nucleotides) under Hevea brasiliensis (rubber tree). Lineage: Eukaryota; Viridiplantae; Streptophyta; Magnoliopsida; Malpighiales; Euphorbiaceae. The record is from RNAcentral.